Molecule: transfer RNA, 55 nt
Filed under: Macracanthorhynchus hirudinaceus (giant thorny-headed worm)
Lineage: Eukaryota; Metazoa; Acanthocephala; Archiacanthocephala; Oligacanthorhynchida; Oligacanthorhynchidae
Description: transfer RNA-His
Source: RNAcentral
UCUAAAGUUAGUGGGUUUCAUGUUGUAUUGUGGUUACAAAGGUAGUGCUUUAGAG